Molecule: unclassified non-coding RNA, 377 nt
Filed under: uncultured Nocardioidaceae bacterium
Lineage: Bacteria; Bacillati; Actinomycetota; Actinomycetes; Propionibacteriales; Nocardioidaceae
Description: contains 16S-23S intergenic spacer region
Source: RNAcentral
UCCGGUUUGUCACCGGCGGUCUCCUUAGAGUUCCCACCAUUACGUGCUGGCAACUAAGGACGAGGGUUGCGCUCGUUGCGGGACUUAACCCAACAUCUCACGACACGAGCUGACGACAGCCAUGCACCACCUGUAUAGGGCCCUUACGGACCUGCCAUCUCUGACAGUUUACCCUAUAUGUCAAACCCAGGUAAGGUUCUUCGCGUUGCAUCGAAUUAAUCCACAUGCUCCGCCGCUUGUGCGGGCACCCGUCAAUUCCUUUGAGUUUUAGCCUUGCGGCCGUACUCCCCAGGCGGGGCGCUUAAUGCGUUAGCUACGGCACGGAACCCAUGGAAUAGGUCCCACACCUAGCGCCCAACGUUUACGGUGUGGACUAC